RNAcentral lists this unclassified non-coding RNA (316 nucleotides) under plant metagenome. Its description in RNAcentral is "partial contains 5.8S ribosomal RNA, internal transcribed spacer 2, and large subunit ribosomal RNA". The stretch from base 1 to 105 matches the Rfam family "5.8S ribosomal RNA", at positions 50 to 154 of the family's 154-position model. The record is from RNAcentral.
GAAAUGCGAUAACUAGUGUGAAUUGCAGAAUUCCGUGAAUCAUCGAGUCUUUGAACGCACAUUGCGCCCCCUGGUAUUCCGGGGGGCAUGCCUGUCCGAGCGUCAUUGCUGCCCAUCAAGCACGGCUUGUGUGUUGGGUCGUCGUCCCCUCUCCGGGGGGGACGGGCCCCAAAGGCAGCGACGGCACCGCGUCCGAUCCUCGAGCGUAUGGGGCUUUGUCACCCGCUCUGUAGGCCCGGCCGGCGCUUGCCGAACGCAAAUCAAUCUUUUUCCAGGUUGACCUCGGAUCAGGUAGGGAUACCCGCUGAACUUAAGC